AGGCGUCCCAAAAUUUGAUGAUUUGAUGUAGGCAGCAUGCCCUUUGUGGGACCCAACAUGGUACUUAAACUCAUGACCCUAAGAUCAAGACCUGAGCUGAGAUCAAGAGUUGGACACUCAACAAAGAGUCACCCAGUGUGGAUCUUCUGUGCCUGGAGUACCUGGUGUGGGAUCUGCUCCUCUCCCUUUACCAUGCUUGCCUUGUCCCUCCCUCCCAUGGAUGCCUCACAGAAUUCCAUCACUAUUGGUUUCCUGCAUCAGCCUUUUCAAGGAAGUAAUUUUGUACUAAGUGUCUGUGUCUUUAAUGCCUACCACAAUGUUUAACACCUGUAAAAUGGUUCAAUAAAAGUGAUUCAAUAAAAGCAUACUGAUUGAGUGCAACAAAAAGAACACUUGCUUUUUCAUGGAGUAAUCAACUGAUAAGUCAACUGUCAUCAAUUUGUUGAUUUCUUGUUAAUGAAUACCAUUAUAAACACUUUGAAUGUAUACUUA
Long non-coding RNA from Mustela lutreola (European mink), 492 nucleotides. RefSeq lists it as uncharacterized. NCBI's taxonomy places the organism in Eukaryota, Metazoa, Chordata, Mammalia, Carnivora, Mustelidae. The transcript is spliced from 4 exons. The record is from RefSeq and is a predicted model, not a curated record.